Long non-coding RNA from Magnolia sinica, 1593 nucleotides. RefSeq lists it as uncharacterized. NCBI's taxonomy places the organism in Eukaryota, Viridiplantae, Streptophyta, Magnoliopsida, Magnoliales, Magnoliaceae. The record is from RefSeq and is a predicted model, not a curated record. The transcript is spliced from 4 exons.
AAUGUUAAUUCGCUUCACAAUCUUAUAAGCUCAAUUGGCCACUCAGAACAGAGGCCACUGCUGCACAAGAGCCAGAAUAUACAAACAUCAGGUAUUCAAACCUUCCACUAUUUUAACCUUAAUUUGUAGCUAACUGUAGUUCAGAUCACAGCUUAGAUUAUUAUCAGAUUACGCAGCUAGUUUAUAGCAGAGUUGUCAGAGGGUCUGAUGUAACAUGUCACAAAUACAUUCCUAGCAUGGUUGGGCCAAAAGAAGGUCUCUGUAUGCUUUUUUCUUACUCUAUGUUAUUUGACUAUUUAUGUAUUAUCUCGAUUGUAUUUUGAAAGUUUUGAGUUUGUUGUUUAUUUCAUGCAGGAACCUGCAUCAGAGAUACAGGACAAGAUUUUAUUUAUGAUUAAUAAUAUUUCAUCUUCAAAUAUGGAUGUGAAAGCAAAAUAAUUUACUGAUGUCCUGAGAGAGCAGUACUAUCCAUGGUUUGCUCAGUAUAUGGUGAUGAAAAGGACCAUCAGAAUGUGAGAUUACUGUGGCAUGACUUGAAGAAAGGCGAUUUCUAUCAUCUAAUGGCAACUUCAAAGUCUUUGCACUUAUCAUCUAGGUCUUGCCAUCCAACAAUAUGUGGGUCCCAUCACUAACAUGCCCUGGCCCAAAAAUCAGGCCAGUCAGCUCAUCAGGUUGGCCCCUAUCUUUAUGGAGACAACAACACAAGGCCCUUCACUUAUUGGACUGUAAGUUUAUACUUCUUUCAUUUUUUAAAAUCUUUUAUUGCCCUUUAUUAUGAUUCAUGUUUCCUUUACAAGUGAUGAGCUCUCACAAAUGACAUGGGUUAUUUGUAUUUUAUUUGUUUCUAUUGGAAGUUGGGUCUCAAGUAACAUGGAUUUUUUGUCUCUCAUUUUCUUUUUUGCUCCCUUUUCUUCACUCCCUGUAGUAACAUGUGCAUGUACUCCUUUUCUCCUUUUUAGAGGUUUUGACUACUCAUUUUCCUUUCUAUUAUGCAACUGUAACACCAAUCGGCUUUUCCGUGGUCACAAUUCCAUUUUCUAAACCUUGCUAUGUUAAAUUUUUUCCUUCAAAUCAGUUAGUGAUUUUUUUUAUUUUUUUUACCGUGUAUUGUAACUCUUUUUGCAAAAAAUCAGUAAAGUGAUUUGGGUGAUCUCUUGUUUUGAUUAAUAUCUGUUAGAUUGGCAUGUUGUUUGUAUGGAAAAAAAUAAUUUUUUAAACUAAAAAUAAAAUUGAGUUGAAUUCUAAGAUUGCAAGUGGCCAAACGGGGCAUACUUGGACGCUUAAAAUGUAAAUCAUAUGUUUUUUUCUAAUCCAUUCUAUUACUUAGUUUGUUAAACAAUUUUCAGCUAAGAAAUUAUGGGACUAAUGUUAAGUCUAUGAUGAUGAUGAUGAUCCCAAAUCUAAUUCGUGUAAAAAUCUUUGUUUGGUUAUUUUUGCAUAAUGGGUGUCAGAGUUCCACUUCUGCAUUGUAUAAGAUUGUUCUGCACUUUCUUUUAGGAAAUCAAUAUUACGCUUACAUUUUAAAACCUGGAUUGCAUUUUGACCUGUUUCCAUUGUUAAAUUACUUCCAAAUGGUUCAACCGCGUGUAAAUG